AGAGCAGGGUAGCUGCAAGACCUCAGGCUUCCUGUGAUGUAAGAUCUUCUCAUGUGAUACCCCCUGCUCCAAAUCUUCCGUAGAAAUGUUUAUGUUUCAAGAUAUUACUUCCUCGAUUAAGUACACCACAUCUGGAGGUCGAUUCGCAGCAAAAAGAUGCUUUUUUUCCUUAUAAAACGCACCAAUUCUGCUAUGCUCCAAAUCUGCGUUAGAAAUGUUUAUUUGUAAAUGUUUUACUUGAUUAAAUGCACCUCAUCUGGAGGUCGAUUCGCAGGAAAAAGAUGCUUGUUUUUUUUCUAAAAACGCACCAAUUCUGCUCUCUUGGAAAAAAAUACCAAAUUUUGGGGUUACCAUUUUAAUCUGAUACACUCUACUUCUAUGUCAGAAUGUGCCAAGAUUUCCGGUACCUGUUCAGAACUAUGUUGCAAUGUAUACGUUGGCUGGUGACACCAAUCGUCGUGGAGAUGUGAGGCACACUUGGGUUCCUAGUGUGCCUGAUGCAAUUCGUCUGAAUCUGAAUGUUGAUUGGUUAUCCUUUAGACCAACUCAACGGCAGUUCUUCAACCUGUUUAGGCAAGUCCAUGAUCGUUAUUUGAG
This 597-nucleotide long non-coding RNA is filed under the name Brachypodium distachyon (stiff brome). RNAcentral describes it as "long non-coding RNA (BDIS_LNC005960)". The record is from RNAcentral. Lineage: Eukaryota; Viridiplantae; Streptophyta; Magnoliopsida; Poales; Poaceae.